Molecule: ribosomal RNA, 508 nt
Filed under: uncultured bacterium
Lineage: Bacteria
Description: partial 16S ribosomal RNA
Rfam family: Bacterial small subunit ribosomal RNA
Source: RNAcentral
GACGAACGCUGGCGGCGUGCCUAAUACAUGCAAGUCGAACGCUUCUUUCCUCCCGAGUGCUUGCACUCAAUUGGAAAGAGGAGUGGCGGACGGGUGAGUAACACGUGGGUAACCUACUCAUCAGAGGGGGAUAACACUUGGAAACAGGUGCUAAUACCGCAUAACAGUUUAUGCCGCAUGGCAUAAGAGUGAAAGGCGCUUUCGGGCGUCGCUGAUGGAUGGACCCGCGGUGCAUUAGCUAGUUGGUGAGGUAACGGCUCACCAAGGCCACGAUGCAUAGCCGACCUGAGAGGGUGAUGGGCCACACUGGGACUGAGACACGGCCCAGACUCCGACGGGAGGCAGCAGUAGGGAAGCUUCGGCAAUUGUCGAAAGUCUGACCGAGCAACGCCGCGUGAGUGAAGAAGGUUUUCGGAUCGUAAACCUCUGGUGUUAGAGAAGAACAAGGACGUUAGUAACUGAACGUCCCCUGACGGUAUCUAACCAGAAAGCCACGGCUAACUACGUG